This 427-nucleotide ribosomal RNA is filed under the name uncultured Acidobacterium sp. RNAcentral describes it as "bacterial SSU rRNA". It matches the Rfam family "Bacterial small subunit ribosomal RNA", at positions 958 to 1385 of the family's 1533-position model. The record is from RNAcentral. Lineage: Bacteria; Pseudomonadati; Acidobacteriota; Terriglobia; Terriglobales; Acidobacteriaceae.
AACGCGAAGAACCUUACCUGGGCUCGAAGCGCAGUGGACCGGGGUGGAAACAUCCCUUUUCGCAAGAACUGCUGCGGAGGUGCUGCAUGGCUGUCGUCAGCUCGUGUCGUGAGAUGUUGGGUUAAGUCCCGCAACGAGCGCAACCCUUAUCUCUAGUUGCCAUCGGGUCAAGCCGGGCACUCUAGCGAAACCGCCUCGGAUAACGGGGAGGAAGGUGGGGAUGACGUCAAGUCCUCAUGGCCUUUAUGUCCAGGGCUACACACGUGCUACAAUGGCCGGUACAAACCGUCGCAAACCCGCGAGGGGGAGCUAAUCGGAAAAAGCCGGCCUCAGUUCGGAUUGGAGUCUGCAACUCGACUCCAUGAAGCUGGAAUCGCUAGUAAUCGCAGAUCAGAACGCUGCGGUGAAUACGUUCCCGGGCCUUGUA